Molecule: ribosomal RNA, 469 nt
Filed under: uncultured bacterium
Lineage: Bacteria
Description: partial 16S ribosomal RNA
Rfam family: Bacterial small subunit ribosomal RNA
Source: RNAcentral
GACGAACGCUGGCGGCGUGCUUAACACAUGCAAGUCGAACGGAAAGGCCCUGCUUGCAGGGUGCUCGAGUGGCGAACGGGUGAGUAACACGUGGGUGAUCUGCCCCUUAUUUUGGGAUAAGCCUGGGAAACUGGGUCUAAUACUGGAUAGGACCAUGCUGUAGGUGGUGUGGUGGAAAGAUUAGUUUCGGUAAGGGAUGAGCUCGCGGCCUAUCAGCUUGUUGGUGGGGUAAUGGCCUACCAAGGCGUCGACGGGUAGCCGGCCUGAGAGGGUGGACGGCCACAUUGGGACUGAUAUACGGCCCAGACUCCUACGGGAGGCAGCAGUGGGGAAUAUUGCACAAUGGGCGCAAGCCUGAUGCAGCGACGCCGCGUGGGUGAUGACGGCCUUCGGGUUGUAAACUCCUUUCAGCCAUGACGAAGCCCUUGUGGUGACGGUAGUGGUAGAAGAAGCACCGGCUAACUACGUG